CCCGAACUAAUGAAAGAUGGUUCGAAUCUCAAAAUUCAUACUGUUAUAGCGUACAUAAUUAGAAAAUCCAAGGUAUAUUACACCAACAAAAGUGCUCUUCCCCUAAUAAUUUUUAGAUUUUCUUAUGAUUCAUACUAAUGCAAAGAGGAGGGUUCCCAGCUUCUUUUACCUUACUUUUACUCAUUAGGAUUCCCAGCUCAUUAGGAUUCCCAGCCUACUUGAUAGAGUACAUAUAUUGAAAUACAUCAGUUGCAGUUGACUAAGGCUAUUUACAAAUGAUAAAUCUCUUUAGUUCAGACAAACUAAUUUGAAUGCAUAAUACGUAAAUAAUUUAGUCCAUAUCUUUCAUUGGUAUGGUUGUACAUGUCCUGUAAUAAAGAUGACUUUUUCACUUUAAGUAAGAGCUAACACAAUUCACUUAUUUCAAAGCUGGAAAACUACCCCACAAUGGAACCAAAAAUAUAACAUUAUCAGAUAUAGUGGUGGUCGGAAGAAAUGACUUUUAAGAGUGAACAAUAACUUAUGGAAUAUGUACAAACUUCUAGGGCUUCCAUUGUUGUCAACACCCAUAUGAAAUUACUCCAAUGUAUUAGUCUUCGGUGUAUAAAAUCACUCACCAUCAACCCAAAAGAAAAAACCAUCCCAAGAAAUUCAAUUUCAACUAUAACUAAAAUGGGGAAAAACAUAUCAUUAGAUUAAGGGCAUAACCUGGUCCAAAUGAGACCAAUAUCAUCAAAAACAAUUAAAAAAAGAACCAAAAAGAGACCAACUUAUCAACUUUAUUUGAGAUUGCAAUGGAAAGGUAUAACAAAAUGAAAGGAAAAAGAUUUCUAAGACACUCAAUGUACCGGUCCUUAUGCCUAUGCAAGGGCAUUCCUCAGGGCACUUGACAUCUUCGGUUUUAUUUGCUGAAUCAAGUUCUAAUAAUAAUGAAAUGAGAAACUACAUAGCGAAAAUGCUAACACAAACUACUAAACCAAGUGAUAUACAUGCUUUUUCAUUGCGCAGGCUAGGAAAGAGAGACCCAUUAAAUCUCAAACUACAAGACCUCAUAUAAGUGUUGCGCCGUGUUUUAAGUUAUAAAUGUAAUAAAAGUAUAUACCUUGAGUCCUGAAAAUAAGUUUCUUAUCACGCAAGCUGGUAAAAGAAACCCUUAAAAUUUCAAACUACAAGGCCCAAUGUAAGUAUGCACCGUCUUUUUAGUUUUAAAUGUCACAAAAGUACAUACCUGAGCUCCUGAAUUUGAGCUGAACGCCAGUAGCCAAACAAAAUACAAUAUAAUUUCCUGCAACCAUGAGAUUAAAGGUACCUGUGUUGAAAUCCUUCUAAUUUGUUGAUUCAGAAUGAUACUGAGCAAGUACAUAUCUUCAUGGACUUUCCUGUCCAACAGGGAUUAUUUCACAAGUUAAUAAAGGACGCGAGUAACUAAAUCAAAUGAAAUGUAAUUUUCAUCUAUCGUGAAAGCAGCACAUAAUCAUGAGUAGAGAAACCUAACAUAAACUGAAGUCCAGAUUCACCUCUUGCAAACAUAUCAUCAAACACCUCGGAUGCAUAGUCCACUUCAAAUAAGUUGUUGGUAACAAAAUUCAUCAAAAUGAUAUAAUGCAUGUAAAAAUCAGGAACAAAUACUAACAUGCAUGUAAAAAAUCUAACAAUUAUUAAAAAAAAAAGAAUAGGGAACUAACAUUCAUAUACACACGGUACAAAUAAAGAAAUUGCAAUAACAAAGAAAAGAUUACACAAAAUAACUCCGAAAACAGAGAACUCACACCAACAAAAUAGACAAACUCUGAGAAAGAGAAGACUAAGAAACACAUGAACUAUACUACAAUGACAAGCCAAGCACAUAUACAUCAGCAUUUCCGUUCAAAACAAAAAAAAUGAGCAAAAGAAAAGAGGGAAAAGAAUUAAUACAACUGGUAAAAGAGGGAGGAACAGAAAAAUUAAAAGAAACCAAACGAUUAAAACACUAAAAGUAAACAAAAAGGAAAUAGAGAAGAAGAAGAACCCACCAUAAAAAGAGAAAAGAGCAAACAGAGAAAAGCUGAAGAAGAAGCACAAC
RNAcentral lists this long non-coding RNA (2062 nucleotides) under Nicotiana tabacum (common tobacco). Its description in RNAcentral is "long non-coding RNA (NTAB_LNC001354)". The record is from RNAcentral. Lineage: Eukaryota; Viridiplantae; Streptophyta; Magnoliopsida; Solanales; Solanaceae.